RNAcentral lists this transfer RNA (74 nucleotides) under Entomophthora muscae. Its description in RNAcentral is "tRNA-Val". It matches the Rfam family "tRNA". From Rfam's summary of the family: Transfer RNA (tRNA) molecules are approximately 80 nucleotides in length. Their secondary structure includes four short double-helical elements and three loops (D, anti-codon, and T loops). Further hydrogen bonds mediate the characteristic L-shaped molecular structure. tRNAs have two regions of fundamental functional importance: the anti-codon, which is responsible for specific mRNA codon recognition, and the 3' end, to which the tRNAs corresponding amino acid is attached (by aminoacyl-tRNA synthetases). tRNAs cope with the degeneracy of the genetic code in two manners: having more than one tRNA (with a specific anti-codon) for a particular amino acid; and 'wobble' base-pairing, i.e. permitting non-standard base-pairing at the 3rd anti-codon position. Lineage: Eukaryota; Fungi; Entomophthoromycota; Entomophthoromycetes; Entomophthorales; Entomophthoraceae. The record is from RNAcentral.
GCUUUCGUGGUGUAGUUGGCUAUCACAUCUGCCUUACAAGCAGAAGGUCUUCGGUUCAAUCCCGAACGAAAGCA